Molecule: ribosomal RNA, 397 nt
Filed under: uncultured bacterium
Lineage: Bacteria
Description: partial 16S ribosomal RNA
Rfam family: Bacterial small subunit ribosomal RNA
Source: RNAcentral
AUACGUAGGGGGCGAGCGUUGUCCGGAAUGAUUGGGCGUAAAGGGCGCGUCGGCGGCUUUGCAAGUCAGUUGUGGAAGUCCCUAGUUCAAGGAUGGAAGUGCUACAGAAAGUGGGGAGCUUGAGUGAGGGAGCGGUUAUCGGAAUUCCUGGUGUAGCGGUGAAAUGAGUAGAGAUCGGGAGGAACACCAGUGGCGAAGGCGGGUAACUGGACUGCAACUGACGCUGAGGCGCGAAAGUGUGGGGAGCAAACAGGGUUAGAUACCCUGGUAGUCCACACUGUAAACGAUGAAUGCUAGGUGUAGGAGGUAUCGACCCCUUCUGUGCCGCAGUAAACACAGUAAGCAUUCCGCCUGGGGAGUACGGUCGCAAGAUUAAAACUCAAAGGAAUUGACGGGG